GUCGAACGGCAGCGGGUCCUUCGGGAUGCCGGCGAGUGGCGAACGGGUGAGUAAUGUAUCGGAACGUGCCCAGUAGCGGGGGAUAACUACGCGAAAGCGUGGCUAAUACCGCAUACGCCCUUAGGGGGAAAGGCGGGGAUCCUUCGGGACCUGUCACUAUUGGAGCGGCCGAUAUCGGAUUAGCUGGUUGGUGGGGUAAUGGCCUACCAAGGCGACGAUCCGUAGCUGGUUUGAGAGGACGACCAGCCACACUGGGACUGAGACACGGCCCAGACUCCUACGGGAGGCAGCAGUGGGGAAUUUUGGACAAUGGGGGCAACCCUGAUCCAGCCAUCCCGCGUGUGCGAUGAAGGCCUUCGGGUUGUAAAGCACUUUUGGCAGGGAAGAAAUUGCCUGGGUUAAUAGCCUGGGCCGAUGACGGUACCUGCAGAAUAAGCACCGGCUAACUACGUGCCAGCAGCCGCGGUAAUACGUAGGGUGCGAGCGUUAAUCGGAAUUACUGGGCGUAAAGCGUGCGCAGGCGGUUCGGAAAGAGAGAUGUGAAAUCCCAGGGCUCAACCUUGGAACUGCAUUUUUAACUACCGGGCUAGAGUGUGUCAGAGGGGGGUGGAAUUCCGCGUGUAGCAGUGAAAUGCGUAGAGAUGCGGAGGAACACCGAUGGCGAAGGCAGCCCCCUGGGAUAACACUGACGCUCAUGCACGAAAGCGUGGGUAGCAAACAGGAUUAGAUACCCUGGUAGUCCACGCCCUAAACGAUGUCAACUAGCUGUUGGGGCUUUCGGGCCUUGGUAGCGCAGCUAACGCGUGAAGUUGACCGCCU
RNAcentral lists this ribosomal RNA (819 nucleotides) under uncultured Burkholderiales bacterium. RNAcentral's name for it is "bacterial SSU rRNA". It matches the Rfam family "Bacterial small subunit ribosomal RNA", at positions 61 to 874 of the family's 1533-position model. Lineage: Bacteria; Pseudomonadati; Pseudomonadota; Betaproteobacteria; Burkholderiales. The record is from RNAcentral.